RNAcentral lists this ribosomal RNA (253 nucleotides) under uncultured bacterium. RNAcentral's name for it is "partial 16S ribosomal RNA". It matches the Rfam family "Bacterial small subunit ribosomal RNA", at positions 524 to 776 of the family's 1533-position model. The record is from RNAcentral.
GACGUAGGGCGCGAGCGUUGUCCGGAUUUAUUGGGCGUAAAGAGCUCGUAGGCGGCUUGUCGCGUCGACUGUGAAAACCCGAGGCUCAACUUCGGGCUUGCAGUCGAUACGGGCAGGCUAGAGUUCGGUAGGGGAGACUGGAAUUCCUGGCGUAGCGGUGAAAUGCGCAGAUAUCAGGAGGAACACCGAUGGCGAAGGCAGGUCUCUGGGCCGAUACUGACGCUGAGGAGCGAAAGCGUGGGGAGCGAACAGG